GACGAACGCUGGCGGCGUGCCUAAUACAUGCAAGUUGAGCGCUGAAGGUUGGUACUUGUACCAACUGGAUGAGCAGCGAACGGGUGAGUAACGCGUGGGGAAUCUGCCUUUGAGCGGGGGACAACAUUUUGAAACGAAUGCUAAUACCGCAUAAAAACUUUAAACACAAGUUUUAAGUUUGAAAGAUGCAAUUGCAUCACUCAAAGAUGAUCCCGCGUUGUAUUAGCUAGUUGGUGAGGUAAAGGCUCACCAAGGCGAUGAUACAUAGCCGACCUGAGAGGGUGAUCGGCCACAUUGGGACUGAGACAAGGCCCAAACUCCUACGGGAGGCAGCAGUAGGGAAUCAUCGGAAAUGGACGAAAGUCUGAACGAGCAACGAUGCGUGAGUGAAGAAGGUUUUCGGAUCGUAAAACUCUGUUGGUAGAGAAGAAAGUUGGUGAGAGUGGAAAGCUCAUCAAGUGACGGUAACUAACCAGAAAGGGACGGCUAACUACGUG
Molecule: ribosomal RNA, 497 nt
Filed under: uncultured bacterium
Lineage: Bacteria
Description: partial 16S ribosomal RNA
Rfam family: Bacterial small subunit ribosomal RNA
Source: RNAcentral